Long non-coding RNA from Quercus lobata, 1518 nucleotides. RefSeq lists it as uncharacterized. The record is from RefSeq and is a predicted model, not a curated record. The transcript has 6 exons. NCBI's taxonomy places the organism in Eukaryota, Viridiplantae, Streptophyta, Magnoliopsida, Fagales, Fagaceae.
UAUCCACCACCCCUUUUAUUCAGUGAUAUCAUGGGUAGUGCGACGGUUUGGUUUGGUUUACGCAAAAUGGGAAAGGUGAGGGGAAGGGGAUGAUGUUCCAGUUCCACAAUGCUGUUGCUAGUUGCUAGUUGCUACUGACUGAGAAAGGGUUUAAUCAAACGAAUUGCUGCUGCUAUUGGUGAUCAUUUCAGGUUAGGCUUAAGAGGACAAAAAGGAAGACCAAGAAGUGUGUGAUGCCCCCAAUCCUCACGAGGGUUCCCUCAUUAGGGCAAUAGUCAUUUUUAGUUGGUAUCAAUCAUGAAAAGGUGUGAAUAAGCAGCCCCCAAUAAAUGAUGAGACAUAGCAGUGGCUGCCAAGUGAAUUCUGUAAUUUAUAUGAUAACAUUCCACCGGAACAGAGUUUUCUAGUGGGGAUAGUACUAUGUGUGGAUUCUGAAUUCAAAUUUGAUGGACGUGAGGGGGGCUUUGAUCAACAUGGUAUUGCCAAAGAGGUGAGGUCCAAGCAAGAGAUGGCAUCACGGUGGCAAUGUCCUAGAGUGAAUGACCACCAGGUUCUAGCCAGGAUGAAAAUCAUUAUUGGAGCACAAGAUUCAUCAAUUUCAACAGCUCUUUUUUACUCAGAUUCCCAACAUUAUUACAAUCUUUUACUCAAAUCCCAAACAUCACAUAUACCUAAUUUUAAAAGUAAUAAACUAUAAAAUAUAUCAUUUCACAACCCAAACAAAACGCCACAAACCCCCCAACAACAAAUAUUUUACUUUCUAUGUAUUCACCAACCACAUAUCAUGGAACUAAGUGGAGGAUUGUACUUCCAAAGCCUGUGAGUGUGAGACCAGAGGAGUUAGAAAGGAUUAAAAAAGCUGGUGGCCAUAUUGUUUAUUGAGAUGGCUUACGAGUUCAUGGAAUCCUCCAUAUGUCUCGCUCACUAGUAUUUCUCCAUAAAAAGUGUAAUGGGACCAACGACUGAGGUGGAGUCCUCUCUCAAAGAACAUAACGCAUACCACACCUAUAACUACAACCUUUACUAUGAACUAUGAAGCUAGGGAUGAGGAGGCAUCAUCUUUAGCACUACUAAUAGAACAUCUUAAACACAAAGAAACAAUGUCACAAACGAAGGAACCUCGACCCAACAAGCUAUUGCAGCAAUUGAGCCUUAAUCAUCAUCAACUGGUAAUGUGAAGGGGUUGGACAAUAACGAAAUGAACAUGUCCGACUGCUAUUGUUGAUCCUGGAUUGCUCCCCGAAGUUAACAAGAAUUAUUAUUCUCUCAUUGACAUGAAGACGAGCUAAACCAACACCAAUGAGAUUUCAAGCAUUGAUUAUUUUGUUUGAAAAUUUUCCCCAUAUGCAUAACUGAUUUAAAAGUGUAUAUAUGGGAAAAGAAAGAUACAUUCUUUGAAUUUUUUAUUGCUUAGAAUUUGAAAAGGUGGGGUGGAAAAUUGGAAAAGAAAAUCCAUUUUCUAUACAAGCUGGUUUUGUGUUUCUGGUUAUAUAAUAUCGUUCCCGGACCCUUGCAAUA